Molecule: non-coding RNA, 62 nt
Filed under: unclassified sequences
Source: RNAcentral
CGAAGAUAGAGUGGCCGGUCGGUAGCUCCUGCGCCCGUUCAACGGGUUCUUCCCAGCCACGG